This 508-nucleotide ribosomal RNA is filed under the name uncultured bacterium. RNAcentral's name for it is "bacterial SSU rRNA". It matches the Rfam family "Bacterial small subunit ribosomal RNA", at positions 30 to 518 of the family's 1533-position model. The record is from RNAcentral.
AUUGAACGCUGGCGGCGUGCUUAACACAUGCAAGUCGAACGCGAAAGGGACUUCGGUCCUGAGUAAAGUGGCGCACGGGUGAGUAACGCGUGGAUAAUCUGCCCUUAUGAUCGGGAUAACAGUUGGAAACGGCUGCUAAUACCGGAUACGCUCAAAAUGAACUUUUUGAGGAAAGAUGGCCUCUGCUUGCAUGCUAUCACGUAAGGAUGAGUCCGCGUCCCAUUAGCUUGUUGGCGGGUAACGGCCCACCAAGGCAACGAUGGGUAGCCGAUUUGAGAGGAUGAUCGGCCACACUGAAACUGAAACACGGUCCAGACUCCUACGGGAGGCAGCAGUGGGGAAUAUUGCGCAAUGGGCGAAAGCCUGACGCAGCGACGCCGCGUGAGGGAUGAAAAGGUUUUCGGAUCGUAAACCUCUGUCAGAAGGGAAGAAACUACGUUGUGCUAAUCAGCAGCGUACUGACGGUACCUUCAAAGGAAGCACCGGCUAACUCCGUGCCAGCAGCUGC